This 495-nucleotide ribosomal RNA is filed under the name uncultured bacterium. RNAcentral's name for it is "partial 16S ribosomal RNA". It matches the Rfam family "Bacterial small subunit ribosomal RNA", at positions 28 to 507 of the family's 1533-position model. The record is from RNAcentral.
GACGAACGCUGGCGGCGUGCCUAAUACAUGCAAGUAGAACGCUGAAGGAGGAGCUUGCUUCUCUGGAUGAGUUGCGAACGGGUGGGUAACGCGUAGGUAACCUGCCUGGUAGCGGGGGAUAACUAUUGGAAACGAUAGCUAAUACCGCAUAAUAGUAGAUGUUGCAUGACAUUUGCUUAAAAGGUGCACUUGCAUCACUACCAGAUGGACCUGCGUUGUAUUAGCUAGUUGGUGGGGUAACGGCUCACCAAGGCGACGAUACAUAGCCGACCUGAGAGGGGAAUCGGCCAAGCUGGGACUGGAGCACGGCCCGGAAUCCUACGGGAGGCAGCAGUAGGGAAUCUUCGGGAAAGGACGGAAGGCUGAACGAUCAACGCCGCGUGAGUGAAGAAGGUUUUCGGAUCGUAAAGCUCUGUUGUAAGAGAAGAACGAGUGUGAGAGUGGAAAGUUCACACUGUGACGGUACCUUACCAGAAAGGGACGGCUAACUACGUG